RNAcentral lists this ribosomal RNA (503 nucleotides) under uncultured bacterium. Its description in RNAcentral is "partial 16S ribosomal RNA". It matches the Rfam family "Bacterial small subunit ribosomal RNA", at positions 29 to 507 of the family's 1533-position model. The record is from RNAcentral.
AACGAACGCUGGCGGCGUGCCUAACACAUGCAAGUCGAACGAGAAAGGGGCUUCGGCUCCGAGUAAAGUGGCGCACGGGUGAGUAACACGUGGGUAACCUGCCUCUAAGAUUGGGAUAACUCGUCGAAAGAUGAGCUAAUACCGAAUAAGACCACAGUUCCCGCGGGAACAGGGGUCAAAGGUAGCCUCUGCUUGCAAGCUAUCACUUAGAGAUGGGCCUGCGCACCAUUAGCUAGUUGGUAGGGUAACGGCCUACCAAGGCAAAGAUGGUUAGCUGGUCUGAGAGGAUGAUCAGCCACACUGGAACGGAGACACGGUCCAGACUCCUACGGGAGGCAGCAGUGGGGAAUAUUGCGCAAUGGGCGAAAGAUUGACGCAGCAACGCCGCGUGAGUGAUGAAGGCCGUCGGGUCGUAAAGCUCUGUCGGGAGGAACGAAUGCUCCUGAGGUUAACAGCCUCGGGAGGUGACGGUACCUUCAAAGGAAGCACCGGCUAACUCUGUG